AUUGAAUGUCUGAAUGGAGAAUGCAGAACCUUUCCAAGUUGCUGUCCGAGAAGACAAUUGUAUCAUUGUCUCCCUGGAAGCAUCUGAUGUGGUGAGCUCAUCCUCUGUAUAUGUUGUGAAGAUAGCUGGAGAAUCCAAGAACUACUUUUUCCAGUUCGAAGAAUUCAAUAGCACUUUACCUGCCCCUGUGGUUUUUAAUGCCAAAUACCAUGGCCUAUAUUACAUAGUAACUCUGUUGGUAGUGAACUCAAAUAUGGUUUCCAAGUCAGCAAGAUCAAUCACUGUGUUAACCAAACCCCUUCCUGUGAGCAGUGUUUCUAUCUAUGAUUACAAACCAUCUCCAGAAACAGGAGUGUUGUUUGAAAUUCAGUAUCCAGAGAAGUACAAUGUUUUUACCAGGGUAAAUAUAAGCUAUUGGGAAGGAAAAGACUACCGAACAAUGCUGUACAAAGACUUCUUUAAAGGUAAAACAGUUUUCAAUCACUGGCUACCAGGUAUAUGCUACAGUAACAUCACAUUUCAGCUGGUAUCAGAAGCAACCUUCAACAAAAGCACGCUGGUGGAAUACAGUGGGGUCAGUCAUGAACCCAAACAGCACAGAACAGCUCCUUAUCCACCUCGAAACAUUUCUGUCCAGAUUAUACCAAUCAAUAGAAACAACUGGGAAGAGCACAGUGGAAAUUUUCCAGAAGAAUCAUUCAUAGGACCACAACAUAUAAUAGAGAAAGAGAAAAUCAGCCAUUUUUCUACUGAAACACCUGAAACGCUAACAGCAAACACAUCUUCUGGCUGGCCAGAUUACCACUAUAACAGCACCAAGGAUGAAGCUACAUCUCAGCCAUACUGGUGGUCUAACGAAGCUGAAUCAUCAGAGGGCGAAGAGGAGUUUGUCAACGCUACUCCCAAAGAUUAUGAGACCAGUGAAGGGAAUUUGUCGGCAAUGCUAACGCCAGAGCCACCCUCUUUCCUUCCUGUACAAAUGGUGCUCACUUGGUUACCACCAAAGCCUCCGACGGCGUUUGAUGGUUUCCAUAUCAAUAUUGAAAGGGAAGAGAACUCCACAGAAUUUCUGACAGUGAGCGAGGACACUCACAAAUUUGUUGCUGAACUGAAAGAACCAGGAAAAUAUAAGUUGUCUGUAACAACAUUUAGUUCUUCUGGUUCCUGUGAAGUUCGGGAAAGUCAAUCAGCAAAAACACUUAGUUUUUACAUCAGCCCCAAAGGGGAAUGGAUAGAAGAGCUGACGGAAAAGCCCCAGCACGUGACCGUGACGGUGCUGAGCUCCACAACUGCCCUGACAUCCUGGACAGCCUCACAAGAGAGCAGUGGCAACGGUACCAUCGUGUCCGUUGUCUCUCUGACCUGUCAGAAGCAAAAGGAAAGCCAAAGGCUUGAAAAACAUUAUUGCACUGAGGUGAAUUCAAGCAACAGCCUCAUUGAAAAUCUUGUUCCUGGUGCCCAGUACCAGGUUGUGGUUUACUUACGGAAAGGACCGUUGGUUGGACCGCCGUCUGAUCCUGUUAAAUUUUCCAUUGUGCCCACUGGAAUAAAGGAUUUGACACUUUACCCUUUGGGACCUACUGCUGUGGUUUUGAGCUGGAACAGACCUUUACUUGGGGUGUUCAGGAAAUAUGUUGUAGAAAUGUUUUACUUCAACCCAUCAACGAUGACCUCUGAGUGGACAACCUACUAUGAAAUAGCAGCAACCAUCUCCUUAACUGCCUCAGUGAGAAUAGCCAACCUGUUGCCGGCCUGGUAUUACAAUUUCCGGGUUACCAUGGUGACCUGGGGGGAGCCUGAGCUGAGCUGCUGUGACAGCUCCACCAUCAGCUUCAUCACAGCACCAGUCGCACCUGAGAUUACCUCUGUCGAGUACUACAACCACCUUCUGUACAUCAGCUGGAACUAUGGAGGAGAUGGUACAGACCUUUCUCAUUCCAGGAUGCUUCAUUGGAUGGUCAUUGCAGAAGGAAAGAAAAAAAUUAAAAAGAGUGUAACACGCAGCGUGAUGACUGCAGUGUUGAGCUUGCCUCCUGGGGACAUUUACAACCUCUCAGUGACAGCUUGUACUGAAAGAGGCAGCAAUACCUCCCUGCCCCAGCUUGUGAAACUGGAACCAGCCCCUCCAAAAUCACUGUUUGCUGUCAACAAGACUCAGACUUCAGUAACUCUGCUGUGGGUGGAAGAAGGAGUGGCUGAUUUCUUUGAAGUCCAUUGCCAGCAGGCUGGAUCUGGUCAAGUAACAAAAGUCCAGGAACCUAUCACUGUCUCAUCACACGUAGUGACAAUCUCCAGCCUAACCCCUGCCACUUCCUACAACUGCAGCGUGACCACCUUCAGCCACAAUAGUCCCAGUGUCCCCACUUUCAUUGCUGUCUCCACCAUGGUCACUGAGAUGAAUCCCAACGUAGUGGUAAUCUCUGUGCUAGCCAUCCUAAGUAUCCUUCUGAUUGGACUGCUGCUGGUGACUCUUGUUGUACUGAGAAGAAAGCAUCUGCAAAUGGCCCGGGAGUGCGGGGCUGGAACCUUUGUCAAUUUUGCAUCAUUAGAGAGAGAUGGGAAGCUUCCCUAUAAUUGGCGUAGAAGUGUAUUUGCUUUCCUAACUCUGCUACCCUCAUGCCUUUGGACUGAUUAUCUUUUGGCAUUUUAUAUUAAUCCUUGGAGUAAAAAUGGGUUAAAGAAGAGAAAGCUGACCAACCCUGUCCAGUUGGAUGAUUUUGAUGGCUACAUCAAGGAUAUGGCCAAAGAUUCAGAUUAUAAAUUUUCUCUGCAAUUCGAGGAGCUAAAACUGAUUGGGCUUGACAUACCCCACUUUGCUGCGGACCUUCCCAUGAAUCGCUGUAAAAAUCGCUACACAAAUAUCCUACCAUAUGAUUUUAGCCGUGUCCGGUUAGUUUCAAUGAAUGAAGAAGAGGGUUCCGACUAUAUUAAUGCCAACUAUAUUCCUGGUUACAAUUCACCCCAGGAAUACAUUGCAACACAAGGGCCAUUGCCAGAAACUAGGAAUGAUUUUUGGAAGAUGGUUCUUCAACAAAAAUCUCAAAUUAUUGUUAUGCUCACUCAGUGUAAUGAGAAAAGAAGGGUAAAAUGUGACCAUUAUUGGCCUUUUACGGAAGAUCCUAUUGCAUAUGGGGAUAUCACGGUGGAGAUGUUGUCUGAAGAGGAACACACAGAUUGGGUUUAUAGGAAUUUCCGAAUUAGCUAUGCCGAUGAGGUGCAAGACGUGAUGCAUUUUAACUACACUGCCUGGCCUGACCACGGGGUGCCUACAGCCAACGCCACCGAAAGCAUCCUGCAGUUCGUGCAGAUGGUCAGACAGAAGUCAACAAAGAGCAAAGGUCCCAUGAUUAUACACUGCAGUGCUGGAGUUGGACGAACAGGCACCUUCAUAGCCCUGGAUCGGCUCUUACAGCACAUUCGUGAUCAUGAGUUUGUAGAUAUUUUAGGUCUGGUGUCUGACAUGCGGUCCUACAGGAUGUCCAUGGUACAGACAGAGGAACAAUACAUUUUUAUUCACCAGUGUGUGCAAUUGAUGUGGCAAAAGAAGAAGCAGCAAUUCUGUAUCAGCGAUGUCAUAUAUGAGAACGUCAGCAAGUCCUAGUUCAGAAUCACAGGUAGCUCACUCUGAUCUGCAUCCUAGAGCCUGGGUGUUUGCACUGGUGGCCUGUAGUCCCAUCCUGUAUGAGGUGAGACCAUGAAGCACACCCAUCUUCCCUUGCUUCUGAAUUAUUUUUUCUUUGGAUGGUUCUGCCACGAGAGACCACUGCUUUGCAGUACGCGGACAGUGAGAGAAAGAAAGGAAGGAAGAAACUUUACCUUUAGAAGCACUGGGGAGACAAAGCCUUAAAGAGCCUGCGGUGUCUUUUGAACUGUUUAAUUUCUGGACAUUUUUUUAACUACUGGACCAAAUUCAACUAAAUAACACAAAGGAAAAGACACUAUACUAUGUGCAUAAAGUAGAUUGCUCCAGAGUGUUGGGGUUUUUUUCAUUUGGUACUUUUGCUUUAACUUUUUUUUUUUCCUCUCUCUCUGUGCAGGUUGGGCUUAAGGUUAAAGCAAGUGCAAUAUUUUUUUAGUGGUUGAAUGAAGAACUUUCUUCAUGUGUCACUGGUCUGUGCUAAAGUCCAUAGGAGAGCAGGCAUUGUUAGUAUCUAAUAAUACCUCAUUAGUGAAUAGCGAGGCAUGAAUAUACAUGAAGAAAUCUGGAGAUUGUGAUGAGGCAAUUUGGGGAGGGAGGGUACUGGGUACACUGUUUUUAAUUGUUUCCUGCAGCACUGAUGUUCUGCACUUGGGGGAGCAGGGGAAAAUGCAGGACCCUGUGAACCAAUUAAUGGUCAGAAAUCCAAACCAUGAAGCCUAAAGCUAGAGUAGGCAGCCUAUGGUGAGAAAUAUGGUUAUUUUGGUUCUGGACUGUGCUAAUUAAGCAGCAGGAUGGUUCUUUUCUCCAACCUUUUCAGUAAUGCCACUGAUCAGGUUCUUUCUUUUUUUAAGAUAAAGCUAAUCAAAGUGCAGAUGAAUCUGAAGCUGGAAUAUCUUUGACUCUGUUACUGUAACAUUUAACUAUCCAAGCAGUCUGUGGUGCCUCUACCCUCUUUUUUUUUUUUAAUUAUUAUUAUUAUUGUUUUUAAUAUGUAUUAACCCCAUGUAAAACCAUGAAGCUGAUUCAGGUUGGGGAAAGAAGAGUAUCAGUUGCAACUAUUUUUCCAAGCCAGGAAUUCUCGAUGUUCUGUAGAACAGGUUUUGGGCAUGCGAAGAGAUGGUUGUCACCUUAUUGCUACGAGGCUGCCAAAGCGUCGGUCUGGAUUCCUGCAGGGACUUCGGGGUCAGGGUGGGGGGGCCUCUUUCCUUUUUUGGCUGUCGGUUUCUGUUCUAGUCAGAAUAACUAGCUCUAUAUAUAUUUUAUUUUUUGGUUUGGUCUUUGUAUAAUUCCGGUACAUCAUUGUGUAUUGUGACCUGGAUGCUGUCAGGAUGGAUGUCGAUGGCAUUUUUGUAACCUGUUGCUUUGUGUCACCUCAUUGGAAGUUAGCGGCAAUGGUACUCAAUGUAAACAAAGCAAACUU
Molecule: RNA transcript, 5060 nt
Organism: Nothoprocta perdicaria
Lineage: Eukaryota; Metazoa; Chordata; Aves; Tinamiformes; Tinamidae
Gene: PTPRO
Gene name: protein tyrosine phosphatase, receptor type O
Exons: 28
Source: RefSeq, a predicted model, not a curated record